Hevea brasiliensis (rubber tree) is the source of this 703-nucleotide long non-coding RNA. RefSeq lists it as uncharacterized. Lineage: Eukaryota; Viridiplantae; Streptophyta; Magnoliopsida; Malpighiales; Euphorbiaceae. The transcript is spliced from 2 exons. The record is from RefSeq and is a predicted model, not a curated record.
AGGAGGUGGCCAAAUAAGGGAAGAAAAGGGAGGAAGGAGAACCACUAUUUUUCAACUUGAAUUUUCACUCCAAAUCAAGUCAUAAAGGGAAAAGUGAAGGUAAUUGCAGAAGUGGGGAAUCAGCUUAAUUUGGAGGAGAAGAGGUUUGUGCACAACUACUAUUAAACAAUUAAAUGUUUCUACAUAUUUAUGUUGAUAAAAUAGCUUUAUUGAUACGUGUUUUAUGUUCUUUAAAAUAUGAUUUUAUCAUAACAAUUGAUUGAAUUUCAUUAUUAUUAUGAUGAAUUUUCAUUGAAAUUAUGAUUUAUAUUGUGUUUUAUGUGAAGAGUAUUUGUUACGGAGAUUUGCAGUAAAUGGAUUCAUAUUGAGAUUUCAUACCCAUACAAAAGGAAAUGAAUUUAUGAUAUUGUUUUCAUAUCUCACGGCUAAUGCUUGACAUGGUUAUUAUCCGUUUCUCAUUUGUUGAGGUGACACAUGGGUGCUUAGAUGGAUGUGAUUUGGAUACCAUGGUAUGUACACAUUGAUAUGAUAUGGUCUCCCUUAUGUAAGAGAUGAGAUGAGAUUUAAAGAUGGCCCUUGCGUAUUAUUUAUGUAUAUGGUGUUAUGGAUGGCAUGUGCAUAGUGAUAUGAUAUGGUCUCUUUCAGGUAAGAGGUGAGAUGAGAUUUGAAGAUGGCCUUUGCGGAUUAAUCUUAUAUUAGACUG